Molecule: long non-coding RNA, 261 nt
Filed under: Homo sapiens (human)
Lineage: Eukaryota; Metazoa; Chordata; Mammalia; Primates; Hominidae
Description: HSALNT0051105
Source: RNAcentral
UGCCCCUGCAGACCUGCUGGUCGGUCUCCAGGGCCCCAGCACGUCUUCCCUUCAGUUGGUCCCACUUAUCUCCACUAGGCUAGUUUCUCAUAAAAUGCUCAUCAACCUCAUUUCUCCCUUCUCAGUAGCUGGCCCCGUUACAGCAAUGCCAUCACAGACCUAGCUCUAAUGUAAAAUGCUAGCUUUCAUCCCGCCCACCUGUUUCUGAAAUGUGCUAGUAGAAUACCACAGCAGAGGCAAGCUUAGCUGUUAAAAUCUUUG